RNAcentral lists this ribosomal RNA (460 nucleotides) under uncultured bacterium. RNAcentral's name for it is "partial 16S ribosomal RNA". It matches the Rfam family "Bacterial small subunit ribosomal RNA", at positions 338 to 795 of the family's 1533-position model. The record is from RNAcentral.
CCUACGGGAGGCAGCAGUGAGGAAUAUUGGUCAAUGGACGAGAGUCUGAACCAGCCAAGUAGCGUGAAGGAUGACUGCCCUAUGGGUUGUAAACUUCUUUUAUAUGGGAAUAAAAUGUUCCACGUGUGGGAUUUUGUAUGUACCAUAUGAAUAAGGAUCGGCUAACUCCGUGCCAGCAGCCGCGGUAAUACGGAGGAUCCGAGCGUUAUCCGGAUUUAUUGGGUUUAAAGGGAGCGUAGGUGGAUUGUUAAGUCAGUUGUGAAAGUUUGCGGCUCAGCCGUAAAAUUGCAGUUGAAACUGGCAGUCUUGAGUACAGUAGAGGUGGGCGGAAUUCGUGGUGUAGCGGUGAAAUGCUUAGAUAUCACGAAGAACUCCGAGUGCGAAGGCAGUUCACUGGACUGCAACUGACACUGAGGCUCGAAAGUGUGGGUAUCAAACAGGAUUAGAUACCCGUGUAGUC